UCGAGAAUUUUUCUCAAUGGGGGAAACCCUGAAGGAGCGACGCCGCGUGGAGGAUGAAGGUCUUCGGAUUGUAAACUCCUGUCAUUUGAGAACAAUGCUAGCCAGUUAACUGCUGGCUAGUUGAUAGUAUCAGAAGAGGAAGAGACGGCUAACUCUGUGCCAGCAGCCGCGGUAAUACAGAGGUCUCAAGCGUUGUUCGGAUUCAUUGGGCGUAAAGGGUGUGUAGGUGGCGCGCUAAGUCAGGUGUGAAAUUUCGGAGCUUAACUCCGAAACUGCAUUUGAUACUGGCGUGCUCGAGGACUGGAGAGGAGACUGGAAUUCAUGGUGUAGCAGUGAAAUGCGUAGAGAUCAUGAGGAAGACCAGUGGCGAAGGCGGGUCUCUGGACAGUUCCUGACACUGAGACACGAAGGCCAGGGGAGCAAACGG
RNAcentral lists this ribosomal RNA (427 nucleotides) under uncultured bacterium. Its description in RNAcentral is "bacterial SSU rRNA". It matches the Rfam family "Bacterial small subunit ribosomal RNA", at positions 355 to 775 of the family's 1533-position model. The record is from RNAcentral.